UUUUUGAUAGCUCAGUCGGUAGAGCAUAAGACUCUUAAUCCCAGGGCUGUAGGUUCGAGCCCCACAUUGGGCAAAAAG
This is a non-coding RNA of Podarcis lilfordi (Lilford's wall lizard), 78 nucleotides long. The record is from the annotation of a GenBank genome assembly. NCBI's taxonomy places the organism in Eukaryota, Metazoa, Chordata, Lepidosauria, Squamata, Lacertidae.